This 72-nucleotide transfer RNA is filed under the name Bacteroidales bacterium. RNAcentral's name for it is "tRNA-Asp". It matches the Rfam family "tRNA". From Rfam's summary of the family: Transfer RNA (tRNA) molecules are approximately 80 nucleotides in length. Their secondary structure includes four short double-helical elements and three loops (D, anti-codon, and T loops). Further hydrogen bonds mediate the characteristic L-shaped molecular structure. tRNAs have two regions of fundamental functional importance: the anti-codon, which is responsible for specific mRNA codon recognition, and the 3' end, to which the tRNAs corresponding amino acid is attached (by aminoacyl-tRNA synthetases). tRNAs cope with the degeneracy of the genetic code in two manners: having more than one tRNA (with a specific anti-codon) for a particular amino acid; and 'wobble' base-pairing, i.e. permitting non-standard base-pairing at the 3rd anti-codon position. The record is from RNAcentral. Lineage: Bacteria; Pseudomonadati; Bacteroidota; Bacteroidia; Bacteroidales.
UCGGCGAUAGUAUAAUGGUUAGUAUUCCGUCCUGUCACGACGGAUAUCCGGGUUCGAUUCCCGGUCGCCGAG